This is a long non-coding RNA of Chiroxiphia lanceolata (lance-tailed manakin), 626 nucleotides long. RefSeq lists it as uncharacterized. The record is from RefSeq and is a predicted model, not a curated record. NCBI's taxonomy places the organism in Eukaryota, Metazoa, Chordata, Aves, Passeriformes, Pipridae. The transcript is spliced from 3 exons.
GUGUAUCCUGCGAGCACAGAGAUAUCUCCCCGUGUGUGUGACCCUGCUGGUGGUCUGUUAUUUGCAGGAGGACUUUUGCAAUCACCAAGUGCAAAUUGCUCUUUGGAAGAACUCUGAUCUUGGUACAAACCUCUGAAUCUCUCCAGCUUUAGGAUGUAAAGCAAAGCAUCUUUUCCCCAUUUCCUGUUGAGCAUGAGCAGAGAACCUCAACACUGGCAAGAGUAAUUCGACCUGCGGAGAGCCGGUGUGGGGACAGCCAGCAGUUAUCAAGGGACGUGACAUGUGCCACUAAUCCACUGCUCCUCCAGUGCAGGGAACAUGCCUUGUGAGGCAGCACAGCCAGAGCUUCACCCUGGGCACCCCCCAGCCCAACGUGUGCUGUGUGAUCCCAGCUGACAUGAUUUGUGCUCCCGAGAGACGCAAGGCUCAAGGCUCAGGUGCUGUCAGCACUGCUGCUCCCAACGAGGCACACAAGCUCCUGGGAACCAGACCUGGAGUGUGACACCUGGGAGAGGUGCCACCCCGCCCAGCUGUGGCCUUCAGCUCAGUACAGUCAGUGGGGCUGUAGUUCUGAUGCUUGUUGUCUCCUGUCCAGCUCAUCAUGCCUGAGAGGUGAGCAGAGCCAG